UGUAAAUUUUGUUUGUAUGUUAAUUUUUUUUUGUCACUAACAAAACAAAAAAAUCUUUGUUUAAAAGUACUUUUUUUUUCUUCUAAAAGUACUUAACAUAUCUAGUUAUUCACAAGAAGUGUCCUGCAGUUUGUCUGGUAUAAGGUUAUCUGUUACUGUUUAAGUCUUUUUUUCUCUUCUAAACCAAAUCAAAAUAAAUUCAAUCACCACAUGGAUAUUGUGACAAUUUUAUUUGAGGGAGGAGGACAUUUAGGGAUCAAGUGUUUUUAAAUUUGAGAUAUCGGGAUCCGGGAUUUUUUUUUCCAACCCCCCCUCUUAUUUUGAUACUAGAUAAAUAGCAGGAUACCCAUUCUGUUCCAUUUAAUGAUUAUGUGAUAUCAGCAAUUUUCAAUGCCAAGAAGUAACAUUUUUUUAGACUAAGUGAAUCUGCAAUUCAAUGCCACGAAUUUACUAGCAGGUACUUUGUAUUAAUAUUUAAACAAUAAACUAGUAACACUAUAACAAGUAUUGUAAAUUCAGAAAUUAUUGGGAUGUUUUUAGUAUUGCGAAAAAAUGUGACGGUUAUAAUCGCAAAAAUUUAAACUCGCAAUUUGAAAAAAUAUGAACUAAACAAGAUCUUUCUCAAUAUCGCAAAAUUAAAAUAGCAUUUUAGUCUUAAAUGACAAAAUUGCAAUAAUAAAUGCAUGCAAGAAUUAAAUUUGAAUUUACAGUAAUCGUAUGAAUCUCAGGUCCAAUUUUCAUAAAUAAUAUUUUUUAAAAGAUUUUACUUGUAUCAUAUAGUAACACUAGAUCUUGCCACAAAAUGUUUUACUGUUGUUUGUCAUUCAUGCUUUUAUUUAUCUACAGACCAUUAUGUAUUCUGGUCCAUUUGUUUUCCAAACAUUUUUCUGCUAAGAAUUGACACUAUUAUCUCUAGAAAUAAGGUUUGGUUUUGAAAAUAAAAAUCAGUAAAAUCAAUAAACUUAUUUUGAAAAUUGAGGUAACAAAUAAUAGUACAUGAGGAAUCUUAUAAGAUACAACUUAAUAUGAAAAAAUAUAAUCAAACUUUGUAGUUAUAUAUUAUUUAAGUCUAAUUGGAAAAUAAGGUUUAACUAUAGAUUUUUAGUUCCAGUAUAUAAUUAAGAGAUCUUCAUGCAGGACUGUGAAAGUACAAUUUUUAGUCAGCAACAUAUAAGUUCCAUACUGUUAAGUCCUCUAUAACUAGAUUACAUAUAUAAGCAAAACAGAUCUUGGUCGUCCAGAAUGAUAUUGGAUUUUUUUUCAUCUAAAAUGUAUCUGACAUUGUGUUUUUUGUUGUAGAUAAUUCCACUAGUUGAUAAUUUAGUUACAAGAAUUAAUUUAUUAUUGUUUUGUCUGAAUCUUAUUGUUUACCUUCAUAAUGUUUAUAUAGAUAAAAAGCUUAUUUGUUUUAUUUAAACUCUAAGAAUUCACACCAGUCAUAUGUUGUUAAUUAUUUUCCUUUUAAAUUGCAUCUUCUGUAAAAAGUCUAUGUAACUCGUUUUUGCGUAACUUAUCUCACAAAAAGUGGUAAAUGAAAUGAGUUAAUAGUUGACCAUUGUCCAGCGGUGUGGUGGAAUAGUUAAAUACAUGUAUUUGAAAUCUCCAGGAUUGAUAUCCAGCAUUUUAAAAUUGUUCAUUAAUAUAAUGAUGAAGUGUUUAUAUAAAUAUACACUAAGUCUAGUAGUAUAACCAAAAAGGAUGAUGCCAAAGAUAGUAAAAUUUGUCAUUUACAGAAGAUUGCAUUGAGUGUGUAGUUAAAGAUAAUAUCUUUGGUUAGCUUGCUUGUAAACUGAUUUGUGAAGUUAUUAUUAGGUUAUGUAUACUACCCUCCUUUCAGAGUAGUCUAGUCCUACAGCAGAUAGAUUGGUUGUCAGUCCGACUAGUCUACUCCUAAAGGAGGGUAGUUUACAAAACCUUUAACUUUUCAGCUAGCAAGCAAGCUAACCAAAAAUAUUACCUUUACCUACACACUCAAUGUAUUCUGCUUUAAUGUAAUUUUUAUUUCUUACCAAAAUGAAUUACCUAGGGACUGCUAGACUGAAUAAACCAAGCUCUAGCAAUAUUCAGGUCGGUCAAUACAGGUGGUAUUUAGCUUGAACAUUACCAAAAGUCUUUUAAAAGAAGGUCAAAAUCUCAGACAUAGUUUUUUUUCUUUUCAUAAUACAUUUGUAAAUAGGUUUUACAAACGUAACUAAGGAUUCUUUGAUUUUUUGAAAAUUUAUAUUCUCCUUAACUCUUUUUAUGUGGGACUAAUUCAUAAAAAAUAAAUAUGCUGUUGAAUGUCUUUAAAAAAGUCAAAGAGAAAGUGCUAUGUAUGUAUUAAUAUUGUGUUGAGAUCUAAAUAUGGAUUCAUGCUUGUAUUCCUGCAGGUAUUUGUAAAAUUGUUUCUCACCUGUCUGGGAAAUUAGGCUUUCUCUCUUUCCUAUUAAAAUCCUGUAGUGACGAGGUUAGCCAAGAGUACUUAAAAUGAUGUUAAGCAUCAACAAUCUAUAAGUCAAUGAAUAUGCAUGAAAUAUUUGCCACUGGAAUUUAAACAAACAACAAUUAAUUAUGUUUUCUAAAGACUCUGAUGAUUUUUUCCUUUGUCCUCAGUUUCACAGUUAGGGGUCUUUAAAAUAUUGAAAAUACAAAAAAGUAUAAUUGGAUUUUUACAAUUGAUUGAUUUUUAAAUUACUUCUAGAGGGGUUUUUAUUACAAUCACUUCUAACCAUUACUUUUGAUUAGAUGUACAUUUCUUUGUGUCUAGCUUGUUUAUGAGAUAUGAAUAUAAAGUGUUGUUGCUUAUAUUUUAAGAAUAACAUAUUGUUUAGUGUUUUUUUUAACAUAGUGCUGUAUCUAUUAUUUAUAUUUCUUUUAAUGUGUUAUAUACAUGUUUACAUUAUUAACUAAUAUUGUUAUUUUCUAUGAAUUUUCUUAAUAAAUUUAAUAACCAGGUCUUGUUUUAUGUGUAACCGGAGAGCACGAAUUUCAUUACAAAAUUGCUUGUCUCCACCGGGACUCGAACCCGGGACCUCUGUGUUACAAGGCAGCGCGCUAACCGACUGAGCUAAAGAAGUACUUCCUUAGCUCAACCGCUUACGGCUGACUAAGUAUCUACUAAGUUUUUCUAAGGGAAGCAAUCCCGUCACACUUCCCCCACCUCAAGAGUCAUCAUACCAUCAUGACUCUCACACAAACAUACCCUAGCUAGAAUUCCUCUCUAACUACCGUGGGUUUUUUAGUUGGGCGCCAAUGUAACCGGAGAGCACGAAUUUCAUUACAAAAUUGCUUGUCUCCACCGGGACUCGAACCCGGGACCUCUGUGUUACAAGGCAGCGCGCUAACCGACUUCUUUAGCUCAGUCGGUUAGCGCGCUGCCUUGAAACACAGAGGUCCCGGGUUCAAGUCCCAGUGGAGACAAGCAAUUUUGUAAUAAAAUUUGUGCUCUCCGGUUACA
This 3436-nucleotide long non-coding RNA is filed under the name Mytilus galloprovincialis (Mediterranean mussel). Lineage: Eukaryota; Metazoa; Mollusca; Bivalvia; Mytilida; Mytilidae. The record is from RNAcentral.